CCCAGUAUUUUCAGGCCUUGUGAGUGCUCUACAGGGAGUGGAAUUGGACUUAGAGUUGAAAUUGGACUUUGGGGUGAAGAUGAAUUUGGCAAUUGACAUUAUGAAUCACAAAGAUGUGGAUGAGUACAAACUAUUGGUUGCAUUGGAGAAUGGAUUGGAGUUGGAUGAUCAACUGAAAAUGGAUUUUGAAUCGCGAAGUAGAGCAGUGUUAAUGCUAAUAGGGAAGGAAAGCAGCGGAACGGAAACUAAGUUACCCGCUCAAGAAUGUGAUUCAAGUGAAAAAUGUUCAUGUUCAUGUGACUGCCUACUAGAUGUCCUUGGGUACUUAUGGAGAUUAAUCAGGAUUUAGAAUGGUGACACUGCAUUAAUCAUGAUCAUGAUCUCAGGAAUAUCUGCUGUAAUGGCUUUAAUUUUGUAAGAGAAGUUGAAAAAACAAAGAGAAGACAAGGCAACUCCAGUUACCUAGUAGCUUGAAGAUGAGAAGGUACCUUACAAAUCAAGGAGCAGAGAUUCACCUUCAAAGGAAGAAGCAGGGGUAUUUUGAUUAGUGAGACUACUGGUUUUCUCAAGUUUCCAUAAGAUAAAAAAAAUCAAACUCA
Arachis duranensis is the source of this 599-nucleotide long non-coding RNA. RefSeq lists it as uncharacterized. NCBI's taxonomy places the organism in Eukaryota, Viridiplantae, Streptophyta, Magnoliopsida, Fabales, Fabaceae. The record is from RefSeq and is a predicted model, not a curated record. The transcript is spliced from 3 exons.